Molecule: ribosomal RNA, 508 nt
Filed under: uncultured bacterium
Lineage: Bacteria
Description: partial 16S ribosomal RNA
Rfam family: Bacterial small subunit ribosomal RNA
Source: RNAcentral
GAUGAACGCUAGCUACAGGCUUAACACAUGCAAGUCGAGGGGAAACGAUAUUGGAAGCUUGCUUCCGAUAGGCGUCGACCGGCGCACGGGUGAGUAACGCGUAUCCAACCUGCCCACCACUUGGGGAUAACCUUGCGAAAGUAAGACUAAUACCCAAUGACGUCCAUAGAAGACAUCUGAAAUGGAUUAAAGAUUUAUCGGUGAUGGAUGGGGAUGCGUCUGAUUAGCUUGUUGGCGGGGUAACGGCCCACCAAGGCGACGAUCAGUAGGGGUUCUGAGAGGAAGGUCCCCACCAUUGGAACUGAGACACGGUCCAAACUACUACGGGAGGCAGCAGUGAGGAAUAUUGGUCAAUGGGCGAGAGCCUGAACCAGCCAAGUAGCGUGCAGGAUGACGGCCCUAUGGGUUGUAAACUGCUUUUAUAAGGGAAUAAAGUGAGUCUCGUGAGGCUUUUUGCAUGUACCUUAUGAAUAAGGACCGGCUAAUUCCGUGCCAGCCGCCGCCGUAA